GGUUGUGAUUUGUGUUCGAUUUGGUUGUGAUCAUUCUUGGAAAGUGUUGGUUUCAUGCAUAUAUCUUGGGUGGUAGUAACCUCAGUUUUGAGUUGCCAAUGACUUCUGUUUAUUUUAUUUUGGUGCUUCUUGAAGUCAUGGAGUUGGAGGCUGAUAUUGGUGUAUGGUAGUUUGUCUUUGAUCGAAUAGGUUGGUGCAUGGGCAAGUUAUUCAAAUCAGAUUUUGAUUGACAGUCAUCCAGGUAACUGAGUAGUGCGAGGGGUGUGCAGAGUUGGUGUUGGCAGCAUGGUUUUUCGGGUGUGCAACAUUGAAGGAAGAAUCUUGGAUUCUUAUGCAUCCAUUUGAUAUUCCACUUCAUUAUUUUUUUAUCUAGACUGGUGCAGUGGAAGUUCAUCUCUGGUUUUGAUAUUGUUAUGGGCAAAUCUCAACGUGGUGCCGUUGGAGGGUCACAGGAUCCGGCAGUCUCUCCCGCAAGACGUUUUACCCGGGCAUCCGCACGUAACAGCCCCCUAGAGGCAACUCAUCCCGCAAGCAGGAAUCCAUCGCCCAUCCGCAAUCCCACAAAGAAAGUGACAAA
Molecule: long non-coding RNA, 577 nt
Organism: Andrographis paniculata
Lineage: Eukaryota; Viridiplantae; Streptophyta; Magnoliopsida; Lamiales; Acanthaceae
Exons: 3
Source: RefSeq, a predicted model, not a curated record